UUUCGCAAUGCCCGAAAGGGUGACGAAGCGACGCCGCGUGUGGGAAGAAGGCCUUCGGGUUGUAAACCACUGUCGGGAGUUAGGAAAUGUAAGGGUGCUAAUAGUAUCCUUACUUGACUAAGGCUCCGGAGGAAGCCACGGCUAACUCUGUGCCAGCAGCCGCGGUAAUACAGAGGCGGCAAGCGUUGUUCGGAAUUAUUGGGCGUAGAGAGCACGUAGGCGGCCUUGUAAGUCAGUUGUGAAAGCCUUCUGCUUAACGGAAGAACAGCAGCUGAUACUGCAAGGCUAGAGUGCGGAAGGGGAGAGUGGAACUUCUGGUGGAGCGGUGAAAUGCGUAGAUAUCAGAAGGAACACCGGCGGCGAAGGCGACUCUCUGGUCCGUAACUGACGCUGAGUGUGCGGAAGCUAGGGGAGCGAACGGGAUUAGAUACCCCGGUAGUCCUAGCCGUAAACGAUGGGCACUAAGUAGAGGGGUUUUA
RNAcentral lists this ribosomal RNA (479 nucleotides) under uncultured Planctomycetota bacterium. RNAcentral describes it as "bacterial SSU rRNA". It matches the Rfam family "Bacterial small subunit ribosomal RNA", at positions 364 to 833 of the family's 1533-position model. Lineage: Bacteria; Pseudomonadati; Planctomycetota. The record is from RNAcentral.